UUGUAAUACUAUUGUAAGAGCCCAGUAUUUCCCUCCUCUUUUUACUCAUGCUAACACUCUCCUUCACUUUACUCUUUAAGUAUUCCCUGUUUCACCUGCCUGUAAAUACAGUUUCCAGGUUCUUUGUUGUACACGUGAGGAUAAUCUAUUCCCAGUGGCUGCUCAAAGCAAGGCAUCCUGUGGUACUUGUGAGUAAUUAAGAUUCUCAGGGUUCUUUAGCAAUGUGAAUUUCUCUCAGUGAUUACCAUUGGCAUUGCUGUUUUCCAGUUCACCCUCCAGAGGCAGAGCAGUCCACGUGCACAUGGACAAGGUGGAAAGUGGAGGGAGCAAUGUGGGAAUGCACUUGGAUUUGCAGUGUCUUCUACACUUGAACGACAGAGCACAGCACCUGAACACGAAGGCUUCAUGUUUUAUUAAUGGUGUCCAAUUCAUUUCCUGUUUUCAUGCUGAUAACCUACUGAGGGAGAGGAAGGGAACUCAGGUGGCAAGACCUCAGAUCCAUUUUUCUUAUACCCAUGAACAGUUCACAAUCAUCUGCCACUUUGAAUACUGAUUAUUCUCAUGUUGGGCUGUAAGAGGAUGGAUAUUUACCACUGAAAAGAGAAGAGCCACCAAUUCUCAAGGCAUCACCAGGCUCUGCAGACAGGUAUUGUCAUAGGGUGGCAUGUUAUGUAAGAACUCCUUAAAUGCAAGUUACUGUACAUUCUUGGCAGCAGACCACAUAAAAUUUCCCUUCAGAUGUUGAUGGGCUGAAAAAAAAAAAAAAAAAAAAAAGGAGAAAGAAAAAAAGAAAAAUAUGAAAAUCAUCUUAUCAUUUACAAUGCAAAUCUUGGAAUGAAAGUUAGUAAAUUAAACUAGAGAUUCACCUAAAUUAAGCUGGCAUUCUAUUCUGGUGCUUCAAACUUUGAAAACAUUGCUGGCUGACAAAACAAGCCCUGGAAUGAUUAGCAAAACCCUCCUUCAGAGGCAGCAGACAAGCAAUCCCUUUGAACCUUCACAGCACAUCAUAAACGCUCAGCAGAGUUACAGUGUGGCAGUCCCAGUGCUAUCAAUUAUUUACCCUUUUUCUGUUUACCUUCAGGCAGCAAGUAAUUAUUUUUAAAUAUUAAUUUAGUUGUGUCAUGUACAGUUUGUGGUUUAGCCCUGAGAUCUGAGAUACAGAAAAGCAAACUGCAUCUCAAAUCACAUUUAGCUGGUGACGCAUUGAUAGCCAGAUCCCCACUUCAGCUACUCAGCUUCUCCCAUCAUUAGAAACAGAACUCUGCUCAUUGCAGGAAAGUGAAAGCAAUUUUCUUAAUAGGAAAGGACACUUUUUUUGGUAGCCUAAAAGUCUCAGAAAUUGAAAAAUCUAUUUUAUUCUAAAAAGUUGUUUUUUUCAGAUGAAGACUUUUUUUUUUCUCUCCCUCUUUUUGUUUCCCUCAGAUAUUUCCCCAGAGUGUUUAUUUUUCUUUAUCCUCAGCUAAUUUAGGCUACAGAGAAGUUGGCUGUUGUUUCUGCAGCCCCAAGAGAAAAAGGUCUUGGAGAAAAGGCUCACCUUCCUGCACUGAAAUCAC
Cyanistes caeruleus (blue tit) is the source of this 1553-nucleotide long non-coding RNA. Lineage: Eukaryota; Metazoa; Chordata; Aves; Passeriformes; Paridae. The record is from Ensembl.